UAGGGAAUCUUCCGCAAUGGACGAAAGUCUGACGGAGCAACGCCGCGUGUAUGAAGAAGGUUUUCGGAUCGUAAAGUACUGUUGUUAGAGAAGAACAAGGAUAAGAGUAACUGCUUGUCCCUUGACGGUAUCUAACCAGAAAGCCACGGCUAACUACGUGCCAGCAGCCGCGGUAAUACGUAGGUGGCAAGCGUUGUCCGGAUUUAUUGGGCGUAAAGCGCGCGCAGGCGGUCUUUUAAGUCUGAUGUGAAAGCCCCCGGCUUAACCGGGGAGGGUCAUUGGAAACUGGAAGACUGGAGUGCAGAAGAGGAGAGUGGAAUUCCACGUGUAGCGGUGAAAUGCGUAGAUAUGUGGAGGAACACCAGUGGCGAAGGCGACUCUCUGGUCUGUAACUGACGCUGAGGCGCGAAAGCGUGGGGAGCAAACAGG
This 429-nucleotide ribosomal RNA is filed under the name uncultured Listeria sp. Its description in RNAcentral is "bacterial SSU rRNA". It matches the Rfam family "Bacterial small subunit ribosomal RNA", at positions 355 to 776 of the family's 1533-position model. Lineage: Bacteria; Bacillati; Bacillota; Bacilli; Caryophanales; Listeriaceae. The record is from RNAcentral.